Molecule: ribosomal RNA, 253 nt
Filed under: uncultured bacterium
Lineage: Bacteria
Description: partial 16S ribosomal RNA
Rfam family: Bacterial small subunit ribosomal RNA
Source: RNAcentral
UACGUAGGGGGCUAGCGUUGUCCGGAAUCAUUGGGCGUAAAGAGCGCGUAGGCGGCCAGAUAAGUCCGGUGUGAAAGUCACAGGCUCAACCUGUGAAUGCCGCUGGAAACUGUCUGGCUAGAGUCCGGAAGGGGCGAGUGGAAUUCCUGGUGUAGCGGUGAAAUGCGCAGAUAUCAGGAGGAACACCAAUGGCGAAGGCAGCUCGCUGGAACGGUACUGACGCUGUGGCGCGAAAGCCAGGGGAGCAAACGGG